GCGGGCGCAUUGUGGGGACGAGCCGGCGGGAGGCGGAAAGGGCACGGGGCAGGGCCACUCCUGCCCG
Molecule: microRNA precursor, 67 nt
Filed under: Dasypus novemcinctus (nine-banded armadillo)
Lineage: Eukaryota; Metazoa; Chordata; Mammalia; Cingulata; Dasypodidae
Description: miRNA (ENSDNOG00000038524.1)
Source: RNAcentral